GUGCUCACUUCAACGGCACAUAUCCUAAAACUGGAAUACUACAGAGAAGAUUAGCAUGGCCCCUGAGCAAGGAAGAAAUGCAAAUUCAUGAAGCACUUCAUAUUUUU
Molecule: small nuclear RNA, 107 nt
Organism: Cavia porcellus (domestic guinea pig)
Lineage: Eukaryota; Metazoa; Chordata; Mammalia; Rodentia; Caviidae
Source: Ensembl